Molecule: ribosomal RNA, 406 nt
Filed under: uncultured bacterium
Lineage: Bacteria
Description: partial 16S ribosomal RNA
Rfam family: Bacterial small subunit ribosomal RNA
Source: RNAcentral
AUUGAACGCUGGCGGCAGGCCUAACACAUGCAAGUCGAACGAGCGGCGGACGGGUGAGUAAUGUCUGGGAAACUGCCUGAUGGAGGGGGAUAACUACUGGAAACGGUAGCUAAUACCGCAUACCAUCAGAUGUGCCCAGAUGGGAUUAGCUAGUAGGUGGGGUAAUGGCUCAACUAGGCGACGAUCCCUAGCUGGUCUGAGAGGAUGACAGGCAACACUGUAACUGAGACAGGGUGCAGACGCAUACGGGAGGCAGCAGUGGGGAAUAUUGCACAAGGGGCGCAAGCCUGAUGUAGCGAUGCGGAGUGUGUGAAGAAGGCCUUCGAGUUGUAAAGGACUUUCAGCGAUGAGGCGUUACUCGCAGAAGAAGGACCAGCGAAAUCCGUGCCAGAAGCCGCGGUAAUAC